AAGUCGUAACAAGGUCUCCGUAGGUGAACCUGCGGAGGGAUCAUUAACACAGUAGUGCGACCUAGUGCGACCUGCAGCACCAGCAAUGGCGGCUGCAGGGCGACACUCUCGUACACCCAUACAGCGUGAACUACUAUGACCCUUUUUGUUUCAUUUCAGCUACUCCUCAGCCUUAGCUGUGCUGGUGUAGGUAGGUGAAAUGUUUCAUUAUUUUGCAAUGAAACCCUUUCCAAUGAUAUUUCACGUAUUUGUAACUGUGACCCUUUUGGUGUGUACUAGUUUCGACUAGUGCGCUCUGUUUGGUGUCUCAACUAUUACGAACUAUUUUAGAGUACAACUCUUAGCAACGGAUAUCUUGGUUCUC
This 364-nucleotide unclassified non-coding RNA is filed under the name fungal sp. RNAcentral describes it as "partial internal transcribed spacer region". The stretch from base 1 to 46 matches the Rfam family "Eukaryotic small subunit ribosomal RNA", at positions 1786 to 1831 of the family's 1831-position model. The record is from RNAcentral. Lineage: Eukaryota; Fungi.